Molecule: unclassified non-coding RNA, 1618 nt
Filed under: uncultured fungus
Lineage: Eukaryota; Fungi
Description: sequence contains 18S rRNA gene, ITS1, 5.8S rRNA gene, ITS2, 28S rRNA gene
Rfam family: Eukaryotic large subunit ribosomal RNA (bases 604-1618)
Source: RNAcentral
AGCUGGAUCAUUUUUCCGAUUGUGAAAAACAACAACAAACCCGUUUGGAAGGUGGCAAUCCCGAAACAUUCCCUCGCGGUUUGUUCGGCGUGCGCCAGCCGAUUCCACACACACAACAUUCACAGGUUGGGGUGAAGCUUCGCCGUUUCAUUACGGUGUUGCGGAAAUCCCCACAUUCCUUGCCGCAACUUAGGAAACACGCGUGUUUUCUGUUGCUCUGGCUCACACAACGUGUCGCGAUGGAUGACUUGGCUUCCCAUUUCGUUGAAGAACGCAGCAAAGUGCGAUAACUGGUAUCAAUUGCAGGAUUUCACAUUACCGAGUCUUUGAACGCAAAAGGCGCUUGGGAGAAGCUCCUCCAGGGGCACUACCCAUGCAUGCCGUUCCUCAGUGUCGAUCAACAAAAUUUACCCACCCUCGCAAGGGGGUUCCAGGGUGAGUUUUACUGUCAGUGUUCUUGGAGUUGCUCCGUGCACACCUCGGUGUGUGCGCGAGUCAAUCCAGGCGAGUACUUGUCGCCCCAAAGCGGCAACGUGCAAAAACCAAACACAAACAACGAAAACAUUCCAGCAACAAAGAACCCCGUGUUCUUUUGGAAAGUACAGACCUGAGAGCGGCAGGACUACCCGCCGAACUUAAGCAUAUUACUCAGCGGAGGAAAAGAAAACAACCGUGAUUCCCUCAGUCAGCGGCGAGCGAAGAGGGACCGAACCCAAUGCCGAAUCCGGUCUUAAACGACUGAGAACUGUGGCAUUUGCCAUGAGUGGUUGGUGUGGGACUGGCAAAAUUCAAGCGCAAAGCAAACCCAUUGCUGAAACCUACCCUUCAGUUGAGUAUUGAGCCAUAGAAGGUGUUAGCCCAUUUGAGCCAGAAACCCAUGCCUCAUUAAGUGGCACAAGAGAGUAGCACUGCUUGGGAGUGCAGUGUUAAGCGGCAGGUAUGUGUCUGCCAAGGUUAAAUACAAAGUGGGAAGACCGAUAGCAAACAAGUAGCGUGAGCGAAAGUUUGAAAAGAUCUUUGGAAAGAGAGUGACAUAGAACCUGAAGUCGUGACAACGAUAAUGGAAGUACCUCCAUUUUAUUCUGGCCAAAACCAGCCCUGCGGCAUUUUACGCGGAUGGACCUAACAACGCCUUCCGUGCCAAACUCAAAUGCAAAACCGGGGUUUGGGUAAAUCGAGCGGAGAUAAAGCGGCGUGGCACUGCCGUACCGCUUUCCGAAAGAUUGCGGUGCGACCAGCAAGCCUUGCGUCACUUCUCCGGGAACUCGGUGUUGGCGAACACUCAGUGGAAAUGGGGUGCCUCCACCCGUCUUGAAACACGGACCAAGGAGUCAAACAGACACGCAAGGGGGAAGACGAACGGAGAAAACGCUUCUCUCGAACUGAAAGGGUGGGAAUUUCCCAUGGUGUGCACUUACGGCCCAACACCGACCGGCCCUCUGAGGGUUGAGUUCGAGUGUGCCUGUUUGGACCCGAAAGGUGGUGAACUAUGCCUGAACAAGGUGAAGCCCGGGGAAACCCGGGUGGAGGCCUGUAGCGAUGCUGACGUGCAGAUCGCUCGCAUGAUUUGGGUAUCGGAGCGAAAGACUCAUCGAACCACCUAGUAGCUGGUUCACGU